UUGAACGCUGGCGGCAGGCCUAACCCAUGCAAGUCGAACGGUAACAGGAAGAAGCUUGCUUCUUUGCUGAAGAGUGGCGGACGGGUGAGUAAUGUCUGGGAAACUGCCUGAUGGAGGGGGAUAACUACUGGAAACGGUAGCUAAUACCGCAUAACGUCGCAAGACCAAAAAGGGGGACCUUCGGGCCUCUUGCCUUCGGAUGUGCCCAGAUGGGAUUAGCUAGUAGGUGGGGUAACGGCUCACCUAGGCGACGAUCCCUAGCUGGUCUGAGAGGAUGACCAGCCACACUGGAACUGAGACACGGUCCAGACUCCUACGGGAGGCAGCAGUGGGGAAUAUUGCACAAUGGGCGCAAGCCUGAUGCAGCCAUGCCGCGUGUAUGAAGAAGGCCUUCGGGUUGUAAAGUACUUUCAGCGGGGAGGAAGGGAGUAAAGUUAAUACCUUUGCUCAUUGACGUUACCCGCAGAAGAAGCACCGGCUAACUCCGUG
RNAcentral lists this ribosomal RNA (489 nucleotides) under uncultured bacterium. RNAcentral describes it as "partial 16S ribosomal RNA". It matches the Rfam family "Bacterial small subunit ribosomal RNA", at positions 30 to 507 of the family's 1533-position model. The record is from RNAcentral.